This 74-nucleotide transfer RNA is filed under the name Myriopteris covillei. RNAcentral describes it as "tRNA-Val". It matches the Rfam family "tRNA". Rfam says of the family: Transfer RNA (tRNA) molecules are approximately 80 nucleotides in length. Lineage: Eukaryota; Viridiplantae; Streptophyta; Polypodiopsida; Polypodiales; Pteridaceae. The record is from RNAcentral.
AGGGCUAUAGCUCAGCGGUAGAGCGCCUCGUUUAAUAACCGAGAAUGUCUACGGUUCGAAUCCGUAUAGCCCUA